UUUCCGUAGGUGAACCUGCGGAAGGAUCAUUACAGAGUUCAUGCCCUCACGGGUGGAUCUCCCACCCUUGACUAUUGAUACCUUAGUUGCUUUGGCAGGCCGUAGAAACACCAUGGGCUUCGGCUUAUGCGUGCCUGCCAGAGGAAACAAACUCUGUUUUUAGUGAUGUCUGAGUACUAUAUAAUAGUUAAAACUUUCAACAACGGAUCUCUUGGUUCU
This 219-nucleotide unclassified non-coding RNA is filed under the name plant metagenome. RNAcentral describes it as "partial contains small subunit ribosomal RNA, internal transcribed spacer 1, and 5.8S ribosomal RNA". The record is from RNAcentral.